UUUUUUUGUGUUUUUUUCCUUAUUUUUUUAGGUUAAAGUAUAGUUGAUUUACAAUGUUGUGCCAAUUUCUGCUGUACAGCAAAGCGACCCAGUCAUACAUAUAUAUAUAUAUAUAUACAUUCUUUUCUUAUAUUCUCUUCCAUCAUAGUCUGUCUCAAGAGAUUCGAUAUAGUUCCCUGUGCUGUACAGUAGGACCUCAUUGCCCAUCCAUUCUAAAUGCAGUUGUUUGCAUCUAAUAACCCCAAGCUCCCAGUCUCUCCCACUCCCUCCCCCUUGGCAGCCACAAAAGUGUUCUAAGGCUGUGAGUCUGCUUCUGUUUUGUCAAUAGGUUCAUUUGUGCCAUAUUUUAGAUUCCACAUCUAAGUGAUAUCAUAUGGUAUUUGUCUUUUUCUUUCUGACUUACUUCACUUAGUAUGAGAAUCUCAGGUUCCAUCCAUGUUGCUGCCAAUGGCAUUAUUUUGUUCGUUUUUAUAGCCGAGUAGUAGUCCAUUGUAUAUAUGUACCACUUCUUCUCCAUUUGCUGGGAUCUUAUAUGGAGCAGGGCAUGUGUUCUUAUUUCUCCUGGUAGUGGUUGUAUUAAGUUCAGAUGUGGUAGCAAAGGUGGCAUGUCCCAGAGCUUGGUUAGGCAUUUGUGAAGUGAUUUAUUCACUAAUAUUUCCUGCCCACCUGGGAGGAGCUGGGUCCUAGAAAAAAAGGAGAGGCCUUGGGGUGAGAAAGGCAGGCACGAAAACACAUGGUAUUACAGUGUCAUCAGUACGCCGUGUGAAGCGACCUGUGUAGGCACUCUGUUCCAGGGGGUGCUAAAGACCAGCUGUGCUCUAGUGUCAGGGUGACCAUCCUUUACCAGGGAUGUGGGCAGGCUGGUCCACUUGGGAACCUGAGUUGGAGGGCCCUCAGGGAGCCACUGGCGGAGUGGGAAGGACCCCACCCCAUAGUUCUUGUUCCCCACUCGCCUCUGCUUUUCUCCUUGUCUUCCUCCUGUCCUCAGCUUCCAGUAACACCCAGUCUAACCACUGGGCAAUCAAAGAGGGAAGGAGGUGGGAGUUCCCUGGUCCUAGCAUUGUCACUGCUGUGGUGCAGGUUUGAUCCUUGCCCCCAGAACUUCUGCAUGCCGCAGGUGGCAUUAAAAAAAAAAAAAAAAAGGAAUGAGGUGUUGACAGUUGGCUGUUUCUCAAGGAGGAAGAGUUGUAAUCAUGUUUAUUGUCAUUGCAGCAGGUCUGAUGAUGGCUCAUCAGCCUGAGAACCACCUGAGCUGUCGGAGCCCCAUAUCCUCCUGGCUUUCCUGAGACGUCCAGCUCAGCCUCUGCCUGGCCCUCCCUGCCUAGGCUCCCACACAGUGGUCCAGAGGCAUGCUCUGCCUCUCCCUGUGGAGGCUGGGGUCAGGAAGGCCACUGGAUCGCCCCUCUUCAGACUCAGCCAGGAGGAAGAGGGUUCCUCAUAGUCACUCUCCCUCCUCUCCUGAGCUCUGAUGGGUCCCUGGGGCCAAAGCGUCCCCGGGGGGCCAACUUGCCCCUGAGGCAGACUGGCCACGCAGGCUUUCAACUGGGCUGGACUGGUCCUCGCUCACUUUGAGCCACUGCUCACCUUUCCUGGAGACAUUUACCUUCUGCACCUCUAACACCCUGUUUGCCAGAAUGACCCUCAUUCCUCUCAGCUCAGUUGCCAUCAGGGCAACUUCGUCAUGACUUCUAGGCGUCAUGUUGCUGGAACUCGGUCUCUGCUCACAGUGCGGAAUAGAAACUCAGAGAUAGUUUUGGGUAAAGGAGAAAAACCAUAGCUUUAUUGCUUUGCCAGGCAAAGGAGGGUGACAGUAGGCUAAUGCCUUAAAGACUGUGCCCCCCCCCCACCCCUUAGGAGAGAAGGGAGGUGAUUUUAUAGUUUGGGGAGUGAAAAAUAAGGCUGCAGAUAAGGAUCAGGGUAGAGGCAAGCUUGCAUUGUUUUCAAAGCUGGUGUUCAGUGGUCUGGUGGUCUUCUUUCCAGAAUAAAGAAGGCUUCAUUAACAUCUUCCAUUUGUUGGGGGUUUUAGUUUUGCAGAAGAACUCAAAGAUACUGUUAUGUCUAUUCCUUGAGGAGGGACCAGGACCCUUCUCCAAAGCUGCACUGUUGUCUCUGGAUCGCUGCUCUCUGGUCUCUGCAUCCCCUCCCUUCCCUGAUUAGCAACCGUUUGAACCUGCCCUUUGGAACCCAGGGAAGGUCAUGGAGGCUGAAGUUUAUUCCCUAAAACAAGAAAUGGGGAACACAGAAAGGCUUGUGUGCCCAGGAGCCCACAGGGCCCUGCUUGGUUUCAGUAGCAGUCACUGGACCUCUGUCCUGAGCCAUGCUGGGGCACAGGGAAGCUCUGAGACCCUAAAACUAGAGACGCUGGGUGACCUUUUCUUUCCUGGGGUCUUGAGGCAGCUGCACCCAGGCAAUGCUCACCAGGACGCUCUGCUGCACACGUCUCUGGACUCCUGAGACCGAAACAGGAGCAAGGAGGAGGGUGCAGGGCUCCUUCUCUGGGACUUGGUGAUGUCUCCACUUUUAUCAGUUUCCCUGUGUCCCCGCCCAUCAGCUCAGAAAGCAAAGUAUUUUUAGUUGGGCUUGGAUUGGGGGAAGUGGUGGAGGGUGCAGGCAGAGGAGGGAAUCUUGCUCCGAGUCCCGAUGUUUUCUCCCAAAUCCUUUGCUUAAGUUUUGAGUCUAUUCCAUUCCCUAAUCAAAUAGCUAGCUUUUUGAAUCAAACGCCAGGAAGAGACACCCCCCACCAUUUUGCAGUCUCAUCUUUUCCCAGGCAAGAAACAGAGAAGCCUGGUGGCUGCUUGAAGGGGGGUGGGAGUGGGUAAGAGGGUGGUGUACAGGACCUGGGGAGGGGGAGGAGCCAUCACCAGGGAGGAACCCAUCACCGGAGAGGGCAAAAAUCCUAACCUGCCACGGUACACUGAGUCUUCCGUUUGCUCAAGGAUGUAUAAUGAGAUACUGCUGAAUUUUUUUUUUUUUUUUUUUUUUUUUUUUUUUUUUUUUUAGUUUUCUUUUAGCUUGUAGGCCACCCCACUGCCAAAGGCUGCCUCUUUCUUCCUUUGGCCCUCUUUCCCCCCCAGAGGCUAUGCCUGCGGAUCCUGCCAAGCUCCCAGCUCCCAGCAGAGCCUCACGGCGCUGAAGCAGAAAUGUGAAAGAUUGCUCACUGGGAAUUUCUUUUUUACUUGCAGUGAUUUUGAAGUUGAGGCGUACUUGGUUUCCAGCCAUACUGAGGGUGUGUUUUGGGUAUAGCUUUACUUUUUCUUCUUGGUCUCUGUUGUUUCUGGAGGAAAUCUGGGGGCACAGGCAUGGGUAGCCACCAUUGCCUCUGUAAAAGGAGACAGUGAAUAAUAAAAAUGGAAGGGAGAGGGAUCUCCUGGAAGGCGGAUGACAAAGGGGAUAAGAAACAGAAAGGACCGUUUGAGAUCUCACAAGACAGUAGGUUAUCAACACAAGUUUCCUUGCAUGGAAUCUGCCAGACAGAGCUGGGGUAAUUCUGCCUCUGCUUUCCACUGGCUGUGUGAGUCCUUGGACAAGUCAUUUCCCUUUCUAAUCCUCUGUAUUUUCCUCUAUAGUAUAAAAAAGAUAACGACGCCCUACUUCUGAGUGCCGUGAAGAGGAUGAAAUGGGAAGAGGCACGUAAAGUGCUUAGUACAUGGCUUGGGGAGCACCAAGCACUUCAUAACAUUCGCUAUUAUUACCAUUCCUCCCACUAUUACUAUUAGUCAUUCGCUAUCUCAAAGAAACCCAUCCUUGACAAGCAUAGGCUCUGAUAAGAAGUGGUUUAAGGAGACUCGUAUGUCAACAUUAAACAUGUUCUCUUAAUUCUCUUAGGAAGCAGAAGAAACAAGUUUCCAGUUUGAGUGUCUGAUCCUGAUUAAGUUCCUAGUCCAUUGCCGUGCAUCUAGUAAGUAGGUCCUGUGAACUGAAGUGUGGCACUUGGCAUCAGCCUCUACGUGGAUUAUAUCAUGAGCCCUUGCAACUGCCAACCCGAAGCAGCCCCUAAGCAGAGCUCAGGUGAACAUCAGGAGGGAGGCCCUCUGGGCUCGGGGAAAACUGGGAGAACAGGUCUAAAGCUAGUCAGAUAUUUUCAGAAGAUUUUAGGUGCACCUCCUCGGAUCUAGAAAAAGACUGAAAUCCUUCUUGGUGAUGUCUGCUCCUUGUGACUAGCAGUAACCUUCAGGAGACCAGCAGCAAACUUUCGUAAAAUGUGUGUGUGUGUGGCCACAGGCACCUCCCCUUCACCUUUAACAGAUACCCUGGUAUCCUUGACCCCUUGCCUCUUUGGCCAGGUUGCAGUUGACAAAACAAAGGAUGUCACAGUCAUCUGAGAAAGCAGUCAUCUCCAAGGGUGAGCCAUAAGCCCCGAGCCCUGAGGGCUGCGAAAACUCAGGAUACUGGCCUGGUAGCUGAGGUGCCUAUCAAAGGAAUGAUUUCAGCAAGCCCAGGCCUCUUUUGUUCCUGAUACGGGCCCUUUCUUGCCAAAACUCCUGUAUAGCCUAGCUCCCGCUUCACCUUCUCCGAGCGGUUUCUCAGGGCUACCCGAGAGGCUGUCUCGUAGGCUUAAGUCCUAAUUUUGCCCCAAAUAAAACUUCGCUUUCAGGUUGUGCAUUUUUGAAGUCAGCGGUGCUUGAUAGAUAUUUGUUCGAUGAAUGAUAGUCCAUAGUUUCUUUCAAUUAUAAUCCAGAAAUCAUGGGGCUCUGUUUUAAAUCCUUCUCUCUCACAUGCACAGAGAUGUGCACACACACCAUCCCCAUUUUAAAAAAUAAUUC
Molecule: long non-coding RNA, 4763 nt
Filed under: Sus scrofa (pig)
Lineage: Eukaryota; Metazoa; Chordata; Mammalia; Artiodactyla; Suidae
Description: lncRNA (ENSSSCG00065073336.1)
Source: RNAcentral